AUGAACGCUAGCGGCAGGCUUAAUACAUGCAAGUCGUGGGGCAGCAUGAGUAGCAAUACUUGAUGGCGACCGGCAAACGGGUGAGGAACACGUACACAACCUUCCUUCAAGCGGGGAAUAGCCCAGAGAAAUUUGGAUUAAUACCCCCAUAAUAUAUUUGAUAAGGCAUCUUAUUAAUAUUAAAGCUUCGGCACUUGAUGAUGGGUGUGCGGCUGAUUAGAUAGUUGGCGGGGUAACGGCCCACCAAGUCUACGAUCAGUAGCUGAUGUGAGAGCAUGAUCAGCCACACGGGCACUGAGACACGGGCCCGACUCCUACGGGAGGCAGCAGUAAGGAAUAUUGGACAAUGGACGAAAGUCUGAUCCAGCCAUGCCGCGUGAAGGAUUAAGGUCCUCUGGAUUGUAAACUUCUUUUAUAUGGGACGAAAAAGGGCAUUCUUGUUCACUUGACGGUACCAUAUGAAUAAGCACCGGCUAACUCCGUG
This 484-nucleotide ribosomal RNA is filed under the name uncultured bacterium. Its description in RNAcentral is "bacterial SSU rRNA". It matches the Rfam family "Bacterial small subunit ribosomal RNA", at positions 29 to 507 of the family's 1533-position model. The record is from RNAcentral.